AUUGAACGCUGGCGGCAUGCUUUACACAUGCAAGUCGAACGGCAGCGGGGGCUUCGGCCCGCCGGCGAGUGGCGAACGGGUGAGUAAUGCAUCGGAACGUGCCCAGUCGUGGGGGAUAACACAUCGAAAGAUGUGCUAAUACCGCAUACGUCCUGAGGGAGAAAGUGGGGGAUCUUCGGACCUCACGCUAUCAGAUGAGCCUAGGUCGGAUUAGCUAGUUGGUGAGGUAAAGGCUCACCAAGGCGACGAUCCGUAACUGGUCUGAGAGGAUGAUCAGCCACACUGGGACUGAGACACGGCCCAGACUCCUACGGGAGGCAGCAGUGGGGAAUUUUGGACAAUGGGCGCAAGCCUGAUCCAGCCAUGCCGCGUGAGUGAAGAAGGC
This 385-nucleotide ribosomal RNA is filed under the name uncultured bacterium. Its description in RNAcentral is "bacterial SSU rRNA". It matches the Rfam family "Bacterial small subunit ribosomal RNA", at positions 30 to 415 of the family's 1533-position model. The record is from RNAcentral.